AAAGGUGUGGUUUAUCAUUCUCUUCUAGGUUGUGAGUUCCUGAAGAAGCUAACUAGAAAAAAGACUGCCUCAAGUUGCUUAGUUGGUUCUACAGCCUUACUCGGAGGUCACUGAGGCAAAGCGCUUUCUUCUCUAACGUGGUUUCCCAAGGCAAUCUGAGACACAGGUUCUGCAAGAGGGGUGGAAUUUAACUGAAGAAUAUUGUGGCAAGCACUGAUGAGAUGAGAAGGCACGACAGCCAUGGGGAGAUCAAUGGUAGCUGCUUAAGAUUCAGCAAGUGUCAGUGAAUGUCUGUGGGUGUGAGCUUUUCAUCAUGGAGGAAUUCAGUGAGACACCUUUGCUUCCAGCACACUUUGAUGUCAGAUGCCGUUUUGUCAGACUGCUGCCAUCUGUUGCACAUCAACAAAACACAAUGGAAUAUUGAUAUGCAAGGGGAGUUUUGGAGAACACUGCCAAGCAAAAACUUAUCAAGGCUUUCCAUAUAAAGAGGAGCCCAAAAGAGUAAGAUGAAAUAUUGCUAUAUGAUACAUUGAGGAUGACAGAGUUUUAUGGUUCAUAUCAAGAAUAAGAAAAACAUGACAGCAACUAAACAUAAAAAGCUGAUCUCAGAUGACUGGCUGCAGUUUUAAAUGAAACAUACUGAGACAUAUCAGUGCAAAAGAAUGGAUGGCAAGGCCGUUGAACUUCUAUCGUGUAUACGAAGUUGAAUUAAGUACUGUUCCUCAGUUUGAGUCCUACAAAAUGUUCUAUGUUGAUACAUUCAGAAUGUCAAACAUUUUCAAAUAAUAUUUGGGUAAAUGUAUCUCAAAAUUGUGGAGAAAGAACACUUGCAAUUUUUUAAUGUAAUAGUAUGCUUGCAAGUUGCUUCAUCUUCAAAAUGCUACGUUCUCCUUCAGUUUCUACCCAUGUUUUUCUUUUUAUUUUGUGGUA
Molecule: long non-coding RNA, 930 nt
Organism: Tympanuchus pallidicinctus (lesser prairie-chicken)
Lineage: Eukaryota; Metazoa; Chordata; Aves; Galliformes; Phasianidae
Exons: 4
Source: RefSeq, a predicted model, not a curated record